This is a non-coding RNA of Otolemur garnettii (small-eared galago), 384 nucleotides long. The record is from the annotation of a RefSeq genome assembly. NCBI's taxonomy places the organism in Eukaryota, Metazoa, Chordata, Mammalia, Primates, Galagidae.
AUGGCUUCCACAUGCAUCUCCAUACUUGUGCUUCUCUUCAUGUUGAGUGGACUGAGAGCUCAGUCAGUGACUCAACCGGAUGCCCAGGUUACUGUCUCUGAAGGGAAUCCUCUGACUGUGAAAUGCACCUAUUCGGUUUCUAGGAGCCCUUAUCUCUUUUGGUACGUCCAGUAUCCCCAGGAAGGCCUCCAGUUUCUUCUAAAAUACAUCACAGGGGACAACCUGGUUAAAGGCAACUAUGGUUUUGAGGCUGAAUUUAAUAAGAGCCAAACCUCUUUUCACCUGAAGAAAGCAUCUGCCCUUGGGAGCGACUCUGCUGUGUACUUCUGUGCUGUGAGUGACACACUGAUGGAGCUUCAAGGGAAGCUGAACACAAACCCUUGA